This 632-nucleotide ribosomal RNA is filed under the name uncultured bacterium. RNAcentral describes it as "bacterial SSU rRNA". It matches the Rfam family "Bacterial small subunit ribosomal RNA", at positions 54 to 699 of the family's 1533-position model. The record is from RNAcentral.
CAUGCAAGUCAACGGGAGUAUUAAUUUCGGUUUUUACUCCUAGUGGCGAACGGGUGAGUAACGCGUUGGUGACCUGCCCCGAAGCGGGGGAUAACAGUUCGAAAGGACUGCUAAUACCCCAUGUGGUCGUACAGGUUAGAGGCUGAACGACUAAAGGAGCAAUCCACUUCGGGAGGGGCCUGCGUCCCAUCAGCUAGUUGGUAAGGUAACGGCCUACCAAGGCGAUGACGGGUAGGGGACCUGAAAGGGUGGUCCCCCACACUGGCACUGAAACACGGGCCAGACACCUACGGGUGGCAGCAGUAGGGAAUAUUGCACAAUGGGCGAAAGCCUGAUGCAGCAACGCCGCGUGCGCGAAGAAGGCCUUCGGGUUGUAAAGCGCUUUUCUGGAGGAAGAGGAAGGACGGUACUCCAGGAAUAAGGAUCGGCUAACUACGUGCCAGCAGCCGCGGUAACACGUAGGAUCCGAGCGUUAUCCGAAUUUACUGGGCGUAAAGCGCGUGUAGGCCGGCCGGGUAAGUUGGACGUGAAAGCUCCUGGCUCAACUAGGAGAGGUCGUUCAAAACUGCCUGGCUAGAGGGCGACAGAGGGAGGUGGAAUUCCCGGUGUAGUGGUGAAAUGCGUAGAUAUCG